UACGAAGGGGGCUAGCGUUGUUCGGAAUCACUGGGCGUAAAGCGCACGUAGGCGGAUCCAUAAGUCAGAGGUGAAAUCCCGGAGCUCAACUUCGGAACUGCCUUUGAUACUGUGGAUCUAGAGUCCGAUAGAGGUGGGUGGAAUUCCUAGUGUAGAGGUGAAAUUCGUAGAUAUUAGGAAGAACACCGGUGGCGAAGGCGGCCCACUGGAUCGGUACUGACGCUGAGGUGCGAAAGCGUGGGGAGCAAACAGG
Molecule: ribosomal RNA, 253 nt
Filed under: uncultured bacterium
Lineage: Bacteria
Description: partial 16S ribosomal RNA
Rfam family: Bacterial small subunit ribosomal RNA
Source: RNAcentral